GACGAACGCUGGCGGCGUGCUUAACACAUGCAAGUCGAACGGAAAGGCCCUGCUUUUGUGGGGUGCUCGAGUGGCGAACGGGUGAGUAACACGUGAGUAACCUGCCCUUGACUUUGGGAUAACUUCAGGAAACUGGGGCUAAUACCGGAUAGGAGCUCCUGCUGCAUGGUGGGGGUUGGAAAGUUUCGGCGGUUGGGGAUGGACUCGCGGCUUAUCAGCUUGUUGGUGGGGUAGUGGCUUACCAAGGCUUUGACGGGUAGCUGGCCUGAGAGGGUGACCGGCCACAUUGGGACUGAGAUACGGCCCAGACUCCCACGGGAGGCAGCAGUGGGGAAUAUUGCACAAUGGGCGGAAGCCUGAUGCAGCAACGCCGCGUGCGGGAUGACGGCCUUCGGGUUGUAAACCGCUUUCGCCUGUGACGAAGCGUGAGUGACGGUAAUGGGUAAAGAAGCACCGGCUAACUACGUGCCAGCAGCCGCGGUGAUACGUAGGGUGCGAGCGUUGUCCGGAUUUAUUGGGCGUAAAGGGCUCGUAGGUGGUUGAUCGCGUCGGAAGUGUAAUCUUGGGGCUUAACCCUGAGCGUGCUUUCGAUACGGGUUGACUUGAGGAAGGUAGGGGAGAAUGGAAUUCCUGGUGGAGCGGUGGAAUGCGCAGAUAUCAGGAGGACCACCAGUGGCGAAGGCGGUUCUCUGGGCCUUUCCUGACGCUGAGGAGCGAAAGCGUGGGGAGCGAACAGGCUUAGAUACCCUGGUAGUCCACGCUGUAAACGGUGGGUACUAGGUGUGGGGUCCAUUCCACGGGUUCCGUGCCGUAGCUAACGCUUUAAGUACCCCGCCUGGGGAGUACGGCCGCAAGGCUAAAACUCAAAGGAAUUGACGGGGCCCCGCACAAGCGGCGGAGCAUGCGGAUUAAUUCGAUGCAACGCGUAGAACCUUACCUGGGUUUGACAUGGAUCGGGAGUGCUCAGAGAUGGGUGUGCCUCUUUUGGGGUCGGUUCACAGGUGGUGCAUGGCUGUCGUCAGCUCGUGUCGUGAGAUGUUGGGUUAAGUCCCGCAACGAGCGCAACCCUUGUUCACUGUUGCCAGCACGUUAUGGUGGGGACUCAGUGGAGACCGCCGGGGUCAACUCGGAGGAAGGUGGGGAUGACGUCAAGUCAUCAUGCCCCUUAUGUCCAGGGCUUCACGCAUGCUACAAUGGCUGGUACAGAGAGUGGCGAGCCUGUGAGGGUGAGCGAAUCUCGGAAAGCCGGUCUCAGUUCGGAUUGGGGUCUGUAACUCGACCUCAUGAAGUCGGAGUCGCUAGUAAUCGCAGAUCAGCAACGCUGCGGUGAAUACGUUCCCGGG
This 1343-nucleotide ribosomal RNA is filed under the name uncultured bacterium. RNAcentral describes it as "16S ribosomal RNA". It matches the Rfam family "Bacterial small subunit ribosomal RNA", at positions 28 to 1378 of the family's 1533-position model. The record is from RNAcentral.